UACGUAGGGUGCAAGCGUUAAUCGGAAUUACUGGGCGUAAAGCGUGCGCAGGCGGUUUUGUAAGUCUGACGUGAAAUCCCCGGGCUCAGCCUGGGAAUUACGUUGGAGACUGCAAGGCUGGAGUCUGGCAGAGGGGGGUAGAAUUCCACGUGUAGCAGUGAAAUGCGUAGAGAUGUGGAGGAACACCGAUGGCGAAGGCAGCCCCCUGGGUCAAGACUGACGCUUAUGCACGAAAGCGUGGGGAGCAAACAGG
This 253-nucleotide ribosomal RNA is filed under the name uncultured bacterium. Its description in RNAcentral is "partial 16S ribosomal RNA". It matches the Rfam family "Bacterial small subunit ribosomal RNA", at positions 524 to 776 of the family's 1533-position model. The record is from RNAcentral.